UCCUGCAUGUCAUAGGCUUAUAUAUUUUUAUUUGUUUUAACCUUUAAUUAGCAGCAGGGUCCACAUGUCAUUUGGCUAUUUACCUAAAAGAAUAAAUAAAUCUAACUUAUUUAAAGAGGCCUACAUGUUAUCUACUACUAGACUAACUUAACACUAAUUGUAAAUCCUAAUCUAAACUAGUGCUAAAUAAACAAGGGCCGGCCACACACGGAUGUAGCACCGCCGGCCACACACACACGGUACACACACAACGCACACACACAUGCCUCACGGCCUUGGACAUGGCCAUGGCCAGCUCUAAUUGCAGCAGCCGUUUAGGAGCAGCAACGUGCAUCAGCGGCGGCAGCGGCGUUGGAGGCAUAAAGCAGCGGUAGCAAACAAUAGUUAAGCAUGAGCAGCACAGCCAUCAUCAAAUUAGCAGCAGAUCAGCAGCAGUAGGCGGGCGCAGCAGGGGAGCGCGGCAGCGGGCGCGCGCGGCGCACGGGGCGCGGGCAGCCAAGGCAACAGGCGAGUGGGUGGGGGCAUGGCCCGGACACGGCCAGGGAUGCGACUACAGGUGGACGAACAUGGCUGCGGGCAUGUAGCUUCGGGCAUGAUGGGACGAGCAGUCUACGGCGUCGGAUCAAAGGGGAAAACAGGGGAGAUGGAGGAGAAGCUCACUGCAAGCUCGAUGGCGAGGUCGGAGGUGGACCGGAGUGGCGGGAAUCGACGGCGGACGAUGACGAUGUACAAAAUGAAGAUGAUGGCGAUGGCGAGUGUACAGGGCGGCUCCACUCGAGUUGAUGCUCGGGAUGGACGAGGUCGAUAGCGACGGUCCUCCUGGACGCGGCCUGAAGUCUUGGGGAGGCCGGUGGCCGCGACUACCUUGACGACCAUGGCGAGCCGAUCUAGUGCCUGAAGGAACCAAAGGGGCCGAUGCAAGGAAAGGGAGGAAGAAGGACUAGGGUUGAGAUGGGAUCUAGAUGGCCUGGCCACGCUCUUAUCCAACAGAGGGGCCGGGGAGAUGGCUGCACGUGGCCGGGGGCGCCAUGGAUGCCCGCCACAGCUGUCUCCUCACUGUAGCGAGGUAGGGGAUGAGUCCCAGUUGGGCUAGGCCUGUUAUGUAGCGGUUGGGCCAAAUUCAAAUGAGUCUUUUCUUAUUCCUGUUUUGUAUUUUCUCAGAUGCUUCCAUUUUAUUUUUAGUUAGUAAAUGAUUUUUGUUACUCAUGAAACUUCACACAAAAAUUACACACAAUAUUUAUAGACCACAGACAAAGUCUCACAAUGUUUGGACAUGCAUAAGUAUUUGUUUUAUUUUGAAAAGGCCAAAAAUAUUUGUCGAUAGACCACUUUAAUAUUUUGCUAAGGAUUAAUUUCUGAGUCAGAUGAAGUGGGUUCCACAUGAAAAUUAUCAAUGGAAUUUAUAGAAUAUUGUGAACAUUAAAGAUUUAUUUUUUUGAAGAAAUAAAUAUUUUGGCUUUAUCUUAAAACUGAAUUUGAACCAAAUUGAGAGUGGGAUUAUUUUCUAAAUACAACUUAAUUAUGAUGAUCAUGAUGACAUGUCACAUUAGCAUGUGGUCACUGUAGCAUGACACUGGAGGUGUUACAAAUCUCCUCCACUACAAGAAAUCUCGUCCCGAGAUUUAAGAGGGGAAGUGAGGGGCAGAGAUUUGGUUACGAAAUUAUAACGAGUGUUCUCGAUCUUGGUUGCUCUUAUCGAAGAGGUCGAUCCAUUACGUUGAUGUCUUCAUUUAUGUGCUUUAGGUCAUCAUGAUAACGUCGGCAUCCUUUCUUCGGGAACUCCAUCGUACUUACGGUAGAAUAAGGCGUGGUUAUUCCGGGAGAACAGACCUCUGCAAGGUUGACUAUCUUGUAGCUAACAUCGGGGAAGGUGGCGGAAAGUAACUCUCGAACUGAAAUUGAGGAAAAUAUUGGGAGCAAAGUAAGAAGGUUCCAUGAGAAGUUUCAAGUGGGUAGGCAAUCGUUCGUUGCCUGAAACAGAGUGUGAAAGAGGUUGAGAGCAAUGGGAAUAAGUAUUGCGUCUGAUACCAGAAUUGACGAUCUCUCGGAACGUGGCUCGUGAAUUACAUACGAAGCCACACACAAGGAAUAACUUUGGGAAUAGGGGGUGUACAGGAGAGUCAGGUUUCGAUCUUGUGGGACUAUGGGUUAUGGGUAAACCAUCUGGGUUGAAAGUAGGAGGAGCGGUGACAUCUUGCAUGGUCAUGAUAGCAAGGCAUGUCAGAGGGUAGCCUGCCAGUUAUGUCGGCAACAACGUUGGUACCAAGGGCGAGGGACGAAGAGAACCAUCUUCCUGCUCGUUUGAACGAGGCGGACCAAUAGGCAAAGUUCUCGUCCAUUAGUGGUUACCGGAAUGUCAUCAACAAUAGCAACAGGGUCUUACCGACUUGUACACCUAGGUGUUUACAUAAGCAGAAGAAUAGUACUGCUUAGAUCAUAUAGAACACCAGAAUGGUUAAACAAAACAAUGGAAAGGAAAAAGGUGAUCUUCAGAUUAAACUGAACAAUGGAAAGGAAAAUAUGUUUAAACACAUAUUUCAGGGGUAUAUCUUUCUCAAGAACAAGCAGGGUAUGAUAUCCAAGACCGGAUAGAAGGUAGAAAACCACUUAGGUAAGGGGAGAGGAAUUUCAUGACGUUACCCAUACAGUGGUGUUUGGGUAAUUGAGCAGGAAACAUUUAGCAUUGGGCUUCAAAUGUUCUCGUUGAAAAUCGGAGUACCACAGGCAAGCUCCGAGAUAGCAUUGACAUGGUCACUGGGUAAAGAUCGGACUUUGGAUACACAAGGGAUCCAUCAGGAACAACUCAAAGAAUAAGUCUUACAAUUUACUCAUGGAAGAAUGACUAACCUUGCUAGAAAGGAAACUUAUAACAAUAGGCCCUCCGGGCAGGUGCGUUAGGAUGACAUCACCUUAUCGGGUUAAGGACCAAUGUUAUAACUCUUGGGAAUAUGUUCCAACCAUCAUACCUGACCAAGAUUCAGAUCCGAUUGGUGUCAGGAUACCUCAGACUUAGGGUGCCUGAGAACAAAAGGUGCAACACAAAUUUACGAGAUGACAUUGUAAGAUUCUUGAGAAAUGAACUAUAUGAACUAUGGAAGUGAGUUCCAAAACAAGAGUUCAUCAUUAAACCAAGGAGAGGAUGAGGAGGUGGCUGAAGGACUCAACGAUAAUUCAUUGAGAUUUCCAAACGAUGGAUUUCCACGAUUAUGUGAACAAGGAGAUAAAAUUUGAUAGAUCAAAUGAUAUAAUGAUGUAUGCUCAAGGAAAACAUACACAAUUAAUCAUUGGUUGAAAGGUGCACCCGAGAUAUGGGCUUAGGUAGUAUGAUCAAUGUUAGAAUGGUGAUUCAAUAAUCAAUAGUCUAAGAAUGAACUAUCGACCAUUAACUUCAAAGCAAUAGGGUUACUGGAAGUACAGAAUCCAAACGACACCGUUCACUUGUUGGUAUCCCGGUUAGAAUCAACAUGGGGACCAAGAAGGAAUGGUGAUGGUGAGGAGUAUCACUAUACCCAGAAUCCUUAAGAGGUGGAGCAACUCUCAGAACAUCCUUGACAUAAAAGAUGGUAAUACUUCAAGGUAGAACAUAAUACAAACUAGAUAGAAAGGAAAUCAAGAUACAACACAAAACAUGAACAAGUUUGUGUUGGGGGGAAGGCAAGAAUAUUGCCGAUGAUAACACAAAUCAUCCCGGGGCAAGGAUGGUAUUUCCUAUCAUGAAUUCGAUUGAUAUCCUGGAAGAGCUCAGAAUGUUGUUGAUGAUCACGACCCAAUUGUCGAGAGAUUUCAUGAAGGUGUAAUCGACCGGUGAUGACAUCGAGUCAAAUGAAUGGUGAAUCAAAAGGUUAUUGGAACCAAGGGUAUGACACAAACUCCAAACCAAGUUUGUUGUUCAUGGCGAAAUGACAUGAUGAGGAAGAUCGACGUAAUCUUAGCUCAUCGUCGAAAAUUGUGCUCUGGGAAGAAGGACCAGGUAGCACAGUUAAAAUCGGCACGAUAAUGAUAUAGCCGAUCGAGCUAGGAUUGACUUGAAGGAUUAUUAAACUCAUAAGCAACAAAAAUUACUUAGGGUUAUCGAACCGGAAUGCGGAAUCGGUUCACAUAUCAGUGUUCUCGGUUGAUGACAACCCAGAACCCAUGAAAAAUUGUAAUCAAUGAGAAAUAAUAGCUAAUGAAGACUCAUAAGAUGCAAUAUAGUUCUUAGAUGUUCUCGGGAUACUGGAGGGUAUUACUCGAAGGAAGAUCGACAUAGGGGUUGCGGAGAUGUAUUGAUCUGCAGAAGACAAGUGUUUUCACUUGCUUGAGAAAUGGGAUCAAGUAGAAAAUAUGGUCGGACCACGAUUGCAAAGGAUCAAUUCACCGAUACCAUAUGAUAUUAUAUCAAGGCAAUAGUUAUUAUUACAAGAAGCUUCCAUGAUAGGAUCUACAUCGUGUCCAUGCGCAUGAACGCAAAGUUCAAGGUCGACUCCCACUUCUUCAAUGCAUAACCUUUCAUUUUGCUUCUCGCUUUUGAUGAAGUUGUAGUGUAGAAAUUUUAUCUAGCAAAAUACUAGAAGAGUAUGACUCGUGAAAACUUUCGAGUUUACACAUAAUAAGGAAGGCAUAGGUUCAACCCGUCAGGGUAUCGUGGAAACAUAUACCACAAGCUUCAAUAGUAAAUACCACCAGCUCGAAAACAGAGCAUGGUUGAGAAAGCAGAUGAUACAAUUUACCAAAGGCUUUAUAUAUCCGUGGAAAGGCUCACAAGGUUACUUGAAUAUGAAGGACACGGUCGUAUAAUAAUCCAACAAGAGGUCUGGUGGUCUACAACGGAGCUGAUGUGAGUAUCGGUACUCUAUCAAAGGAAGAAGGAAUGCAUGUGCAUCAGAUUAUAGAAACAACUGACUAUCUCAAAGCUCAAAUGCAGAGGAAUUAUGAAUUCCAAGACAAGGGAUCAGAAUCAAUGCUCUGAUUAGGGAUGGAUAAGUUGAAUAGCCUUAAGGGUACAAUCAAUGGCAAUUUGAGUGGUUGAGAUCCAACUCAUGUCCGGAAUAACGUCUGAAUCGGAAGGAUAAAUUCUAGGGAACAACUGAUAAUUGUGUGCAUUCACACACAUGUUGAAUCAAAAGGAUCAGAAUAACAAUCACAAAGGUUUUUAUAGUAAAUUGCUAGACCAAUGGAAUUAAUCGGAAUGCAAGUAUGCAAGAAUUCCAAAAACAACAGGUUGUUGAGGAUUUUCGAAAGAUCAAAUAGUAUUUCGAAGUCUUUUGCGGAACACAAGAACAACUGGGAAUGAGUGGAUACUCGAUAGGUGUGAGGAAUUAUCCGUAGGGGUAUUUAUACGAUAAGGAACUACAAGGCAGUGGUACAAGGGAUUCUUAAAAGUCGGAGAGCAAUUCUAUGCAUCUUGUAACAACAAGAGAAACUCAGAGUAAUUGUAUGAACAACAAGUGUAUGUCGUUAUCCAUAUGGAUAUAUCGGUAGUAGGGAAUUGAAAAGCAGAGGGCACAAGGGUCUCGGGAAUGAUCGAAGAGUAUUUUCAAAAUCUUUUGGUGCAGCAGGCGACCAUCUGUAAUAAGGGGCUCUCCGGAAGGAAGUAGUUACAAGAACCUAGAGUCAGAGUUAGUAAAAUCAUUUAACCCGAAUAGAAGAGAGAUUAGAAUCCCAGAGUAUGGGUCGAGGAAUAAAAGAUCCUAAUACCACCCAAUGGCGACGUGGGCCCAUGGACCGCACAACCAUGUUAGUAAAACAUUUUUCACUGACUAGACUUGACUUCAGCCAAGGAGUGUGGAAGGGGGAUUCCUACAGGUAGUCGGCUCUGAUAUCAACUUGUGACGCCCCCGAUUCAAUCGUACACUAAUCAUACACGCAAACGUGUAUGAUCAAGAUCAGAGACUCACGGGAAGAUAUCACAACACAACUCUACAAAUAAAAUAAGUCAUACAAGCAUCAUAUUACAAGCUAGGGGCCUCGAGGGCUUGAAUACAAGUGCUCGAUCAUAGACGAGUCAGCGGAAGCAACAAUAUCUGAGUACAGACAUAAGUUAAACAAGUUUGCCUUAAAAAGGCUAGCACAAACUGGGAUACAGAUCGAAAGAGGCGCAGGCCUCCUGCCUGGGAUCCUCCUAAACUACUCAUGGUCGUCGUCAGCGGGCUGCACUUGUAGUAGGCACCUCUCGAGUAGUAGUAGUAGUCAUCAUCGACAGUGGUGUCUGGCUCCUGGGCUCCAUCGGCUGGUCGCAGCAAUCGGGUAUGGAAAGGGGGAAAAGAGGGAGCAAAGCAACCGUGAGUACUCAUCCAAAGUACUCGCAAGCAACGAGCUACACUACAUAUGUAUGCAUUGGUAUCAAAAUGGAAUAAGGGUAUCAUAUGUGGACUAAACUGCAGAAUGCCGGAAUAAGAGGGGGAUAGCUAGUCCUGUCGAAGAAUACGCUUCUGGCCACCUCCAUCUUGCAGCAUGUAGAAGAGAGUAGAUGGUAAGUUCACCAAGUAGCAUCGUGUAGCAUAAUCCUACCCGGCGAUCCUCCCCUUGUCGCCCUGUUGGAGAGCGAUCACCGGGUUAUAUCUGGCACUUGGAAGUGUGUGUUUUAUUAAGUAUCCGGUUCUAGUUGUCAUAAGGUUAAGGUACAACUCCAAGUCAUCCUGUUACCGAAGACAAUGGCUAUUCGUAUACAUUAACUUCCCUGCAGGGGUGCACCACAUUUCCUAACAUGCUCGAUCCCCUUUGUCCGGACACACUUUUCUGGGUCAUGCCCAGCCUCGGAAGAUCAACACGUCGCAGCCCUACCUAGGCACAACAAAGAGGUCAGCACGCCGGUCUAAAUCCUAUGGCGCAGGGGUCUAGGCCCAUCGCCCAUUGCACACCUGCACGUUGCGAACGCGGCCGGAAGCAGACCUAGCCCCCUUAAUACAAUAGCAGGCUUACGGUCCAAUCUAGCGCGCGCUGCUCAGUCGCUGACGUCAUGAAGGCUUCGACUGAUACCACGACGUCGAGUGCCCAUAACUGUCCCUGCGUAGAUGGUUAGUGCGUAUAGGCCAGUGGCCAGACUCAGAUCAAAUACCAAGAUCUCGUUAAACGUGUUAUCUUGAAAUAACCGCGAACGCCGACCAGGGCCAGGCUCAUCUCUCUUCUAGGUGGUCUCAACCUGCCUUGUCGCUUCGCCACAAAGAUCCACACAGAGGGCCGUCGGGAAAGUAUGUCCUUCCAGCCCCCAAUUCGUGAAUCAACCGCGGGUACUCCUCGAGCCAACCCGACUUUAGUCAUCACAUGUAUCAUGUAUAAAGUAUAUAGUAUAUACCCGUGAUCACCUCCCGAGUGAUCACGGCCCGAUAGUAUAGCAUGGCAGACGGACAAGAAUGUAGGGCCACUGAUGAUAAACUAGCAUCCUAUACUAAGAAUUAGGAUUGCAGGUAAAGGUAACAAUAGUAGUAGCAAGGACAGGCUAUGCAUUAGGAUAGGAUUAACGGGAAGCAGUAACAUGCUACACUACUCUAAUGCAAGAAGUAGAGAGAAGAGUAGGCGAUAUCUGGGAUCAAAGGGGGGGCUUGCCUGGUUGCUCCGGAAAGAGAGAGGGGGCGUCAACACCGUACUCGUACUGGGUAGCGGCCGCGUCGGUCUCGUAGUCUACCGGAGAGAAGAGGGGGAAGAAACAAUGAAUAUAAUGCAAACAGAAGCAUAACGUUGCAUGACAAGACAAGUAGCGGUGGUAGGGGUGUCCUAACGCGGUAUGAGGUGGUACCGGUGAAGGGGGAAACAUCCGGGAAAAUAUCCUCGGUGUUUCACGUUUUCGGAGAGAUGAACCGGAGGGGGAAUGUUGCGUGUUCUCUAUGCUAGGGAUGCGUGGCGGACGAACGGGUUGCGUAUUUGGAUUCUUCUCGUCGUUCUGAGCAAAUUUCAUGUACAAAGUUUUUUCAUCCGAAUUACGGUUUAUUUUAUAUGAAUUUUUGAAGUUUAUUGCAUUUUCAAAAUUUAUUUUAAUUCGUUUUUAAGGAAAUUGCGAAGUGUACACAGCAACAGCUUAGCUACAGUGGCUUACAAGUGGGGUCCAGUAGCUAGGUUGACCUAGUCAACAUUUGACUGGUCAAUACGUGAAUAGUAAAAGUGAAUCCUGCAUGUCAUAGGCUUAUAUAUUUUUAUUUGUUUUAACCUUUAAUUAGCAGCAGGGUCCACAUGUCAUUUGGCUAUUUACCUAAAAGAAUAAAUAAAUCUAACUUAUUUAAAGAGGCCUAUAUGUUAUCUACUACUAGACUAACUUAACACUAAUUGUAAAUCCUAAUCUAAACUAGUGCUAAAUAAACAAGGGCCGGCCACACACGGAUGUGGCACCGCCGGCCACACACACACGGUACACACACAACGCACACACACAUGCCUCACGGCCUUGGACAUGGCCAUGGCCAGCUCUAAUUGCAGCAGCCGUUUAGGAGCAGCAACGUGCAUCAGCGGCGGCGGCGGCGUUGGAGGCAUAAAGCAGCGGUAGCAAACAACAGUUAAGCAUGAGCAGCACAGCCAUCAGCAAAUUAGCAGC
RNAcentral lists this long non-coding RNA (8503 nucleotides) under Triticum aestivum (bread wheat). Its description in RNAcentral is "long non-coding RNA (TAES_LNC025409)". Lineage: Eukaryota; Viridiplantae; Streptophyta; Magnoliopsida; Poales; Poaceae. The record is from RNAcentral.